GAGAGAGAGAGAGAGAGUAGUGGUCUAUUCAAACAUUAACCUUUUAAAUAUUCAAGGUCUAGAAAGAGAGAGAAUGCGUGAUAGUAAUUUUUAAAUAUAUUAGUGUUAAACUUAAACUUUAAAUCUUUUAAAGGUUCAAAGUUUAGAGAGACUGUGUGUGUGUGUGUUUUAAAGAUUUAAUGUUCAAAUCUCAUUACUUUAAA
This 203-nucleotide unclassified non-coding RNA is filed under the name Hevea brasiliensis (rubber tree). The record is from RNAcentral. Lineage: Eukaryota; Viridiplantae; Streptophyta; Magnoliopsida; Malpighiales; Euphorbiaceae.